RNAcentral lists this ribosomal RNA (537 nucleotides) under Rhodotorula mucilaginosa. RNAcentral describes it as "eukaryotic LSU rRNA". It matches the Rfam family "Eukaryotic large subunit ribosomal RNA", at positions 51 to 584 of the family's 3401-position model. Lineage: Eukaryota; Fungi; Basidiomycota; Microbotryomycetes; Sporidiobolales; Sporidiobolaceae. The record is from RNAcentral.
CGGAGGAAAAGAAACUAACAAGGAUUCCCCUAGUAGCGGCGAGCGAAGCGGGAAGAGCUCAAAUUUAUAAUCUGGCACCUUCGGUGUCCGAGUUGUAAUCUCUAGAAAUGUUUUCCGCGUUGGACCGCACACAAGUCUGUUGGAAUACAGCGGCAUAGUGGUGAGACCCCCGUAUAUGGUGCGGACGCCCAGCGCUUUGUGAUACAUUUUCGAAGAGUCGAGUUGUUUGGGAAUGCAGCUCAAAUUGGGUGGUAAAUUCCAUCUAAAGCUAAAUAUUGGCGAGAGACCGAUAGCGAACAAGUACCGUGAGGGAAAGAUGAAAAGCACUUUGGAAAGAGAGUUAACAGUACGUGAAAUUGUUGGAAGGGAAACGCUUGAAGUCAGACUUGCUUGCCGAGCAAUCGGUUUGCAGGCCAGCAUCAGUUUUCCGGGAUGGAUAAUGGUAGAGAGAAGGUAGCAGUUUCGGCUGUGUUAUAGCUCUCUGCUGGAUACAUCUUGGGGGACUGAGGAACGCAGUGUGCCUUUGGCGGGGGUUUC